ACACCGGCAGCUCGAGUGAUGACCGAUCUUAUUGGGCCUAAAGCGUUCGUAGCCGGCCGGGCAAGUUCGUCGGGAAAUCUACCAGCUCAACUGGUAGGCGUCCGGCGAAAACUGCUCGGCUUGGGACAGGGAGACUCAAGGGGUACGUCCGGGGUAGGAGUGAAAUCCUGUAAUCCUGGACGGACCACCGAUGGCGAAAGCACCUUGAGAGAACUGCUCCGACGGUCAGGAACGAAAGCUGGGGUCCCGAACCGGAUUAGAUACCCGGGUAGUCCCAGCUGUAAACGAUGUUCGCUAGGUGCGACGCAGACUACGAGUCUGUGUUGUGCCGUAGGGAAGCCGAGAAGCGAACCGCCUGGGAAGUACGUCCGCAAGGAUGAA
Molecule: ribosomal RNA, 381 nt
Filed under: uncultured bacterium
Lineage: Bacteria
Also listed under: 1 other name
Description: bacterial SSU rRNA
Rfam family: Archaeal small subunit ribosomal RNA
Source: RNAcentral